AUAGGCGGGACUAACAGAGAGGAGAAAGGAGGGAACAGGGAAGACAGAGGGAGACACUGCCAGCCACCGCCAUGACAAGAAGCAUGUGAAGAUGGUAAGCCACGAGCCACAUGGCAAGACAAAAACAACCCCUGUGAGGACUUCAUCUGCAACUGUGACCACCAGGCUGCCAUCUGCUUCUACAACACUCCAUACACCAAGCAUUACAAAAGCAUUCAGUGUUCGACUUGUCACCUCAGUGACUGGCACACCUUCCCUGCCUGCCUGGUUCUGUUUACUACACACUGUGCCCUCUGUAAAGCACCAUAGAAAGAACUCGGCUUUGCUAAUUGGAUUCUCUGUCCACCUGCUGGGGAUCAGCCUCAGCCGUUUCAAGAGUCUCGAAGGGCAGGGAUGUCUGGCAGGUGCAAGACAAGCCUGGGACAUACAAGUUGGUGCAGCUGACGAGUCUCGUCCGAUCUGGAGAUUUGUGCAUCUUCUCCACUUUCUCUCGAUCUGACUCAACCCCAAUCUUUUAUUGUAAUAAUACAAGGAAAUAGGGGAUGAUAAAAUUCAACAGGUGUUUGGGUUCUUUACAAUAGUUUCAAAAGUUCUUUUUGUAAAUCAGCAAAGUGUACCCUGUGCCCCUUGAUUGCACAUAGAAGUUCCCAGGAAGAGAGCCAAAGCAUACCAGCUUAUCCUUUUACAGGUUAAUAAUUAUCAGAACAUCUGAGGCAAUCACCCCAGAGGCCAUCUACUUGCAGUUUCUCAGAAAGAACAGAAUACAAGCAAUGGUUUGAGGUACCAGACUGUCAGCUUCCUCUCAGCCUAAGUCCUUCUUCAUCAGUCUGUAAUUCAUCAAGUUGUCUUCUAACUAGUUCUGGGUAACUCUUGUCUUCUAUCCUAUCUAAAUGUCACUCCAUCUACAGUUUUCUCCCACCAGCCUUCGGGGUUUUCCCCAUGACCUGCCUAACAGCUUUAACUCCUGCCAUUGUCACAAUCUCAGAAUCAUUUCAUAGAAACCACCGCAGGAGAGAGGAAGAAAAUCAUAAAGAGCAAAUAGAGUAGGAAACCAAACUGGACAGAGAGUAAAUGACCUGAAUGCAGGAUCACAUCCUGUUGACCUUCCAGUCCUCACUGUGCCUAAACACACACCACAGGAUAGUUGUCCCUCUAAAGUACACAGCAGGAUAACUUUUUAAACAAACAAAAUAGAACACAUCAUCUUCUCUAACUUUCUCUAUCAUGGGACCCCAUAGGUAAAGUCAGGUUAAUCUCUGGUUUCCUGGUCAACCAGAUUUAGGAAAAAGAUUUCUCAUUGGUUAAAGGCUGUGUGGUCUCAGUCUCUUUUUUCCUUUAGUGAACAGCUGCCCAGUCCUCUGCCCUUCCACCCCUAACCCCAUCUGCACUCAUGUCCAAAUGUCAGGCCUGACCCCUCCCAAGGUCAGUUCUGGUGAGCAAUAGGUGCAGCUAGAGCCACCUGGGCAGGCGCAGUGACCUGUCGUAGCUGGUAGUGACUGUCCAGAGUCCUGCUGGAGGAUCAGAGAUCUUGAGCGAGGAGACAAGCAACUCAAAUCAUCACCUAGUGGUUGUUAUCCAGCACUGAUUCAGGCUCUGUCACCAUCUACAGCAGCUCUGCAGGUCGGGACUGUGUGUGAGGGUGCACAUAUUCUACUUCUGUGCUACACACACAGUAGUCACAGGCCCCGUGUGCUGACUGGACACUGUCAGAGCACAGCUACAGGACUAUAAAGAGAAGUCACUUGAGUCCUCCUCUCGCUCAGGAUGAAACUCUUCUGCUGGUUUCUCUGCUCACAGGUGCUACUGCACAGAGCAUCAGCCCUCAGGCUGUGUGGCAGUUGGGCAAUGUGUUCGAUUGCAACAUUCCCGAUACUGGUACAGUCUUAGAGUACAGAUUCUAUGGCUGCUACUGUGGCUUGUGAGAUUGGCGAUUCAGAUGAAGACUUAGACAGUUGCUGCAGGACUCGUGACAACUGCCUUGCUCAGGUCGAUAACUGGAAAACUGUGCAUUCCUCAUAAGGAACCCUUACACCAGCUCCUACUCAUUCUCAUGUUCUGGGAAUGAGGUCACCUGCAGUG
Peromyscus leucopus (white-footed mouse) is the source of this 2079-nucleotide long non-coding RNA. RefSeq lists it as uncharacterized. Lineage: Eukaryota; Metazoa; Chordata; Mammalia; Rodentia; Cricetidae. The record is from RefSeq and is a predicted model, not a curated record. The transcript has 5 exons.